This is a long non-coding RNA of Homo sapiens (human), 1519 nucleotides long. RefSeq lists it as uncharacterized. The transcript is spliced from 2 exons. The record is from RefSeq and is a predicted model, not a curated record. NCBI's taxonomy places the organism in Eukaryota, Metazoa, Chordata, Mammalia, Primates, Hominidae.
CCUUGUGCCUGGUCUGUCUCCACAGUUGGAAUUGGGAAAAACACAUGGGCACAGCUUACAGGUGGAAUGAUGACUCAUACCUGAAGAUAUGACUCUUGUAGUUAGUCUUAGAGCAAAAACUAAGGUUCUGGGUCUUCAACUUGUAGGAUGGCCAGAGACUAUUAUGAGUUGCAUGCACAUUGUAUGAAGCUCUCAAGUGCUACAGAGUGCCAAAAUAGAGCCCAGCACACAGGGAAAAUCGUGGCUGUUGUAUGCAAACUCAGAUCAAAGUGAGGAUUAUCAGCCUUCCACAUUAACAGAACCCACUGUUGAGGUUCCGAAUCACACACCAAGAGGCAAUGGAGUUGGAAUUGUGAAUCUCAUGCAUCAAUCCAAUCGACAGAUGAGGUGAUGACACCAAGUCCUGGAUUUAGAACACCGGGGGGCUGUGCUUCCCCUAUCAAAACAGUCUGUUGGUGAGAUUUGGGCUCUUGUGCAUUGAUUUAGUCCACUGUUGUGACUGACUUGAAUACUUGAACUCAACCCACAGGAAGUGUCGACUUUUAUACCUCUAGCUAUGUCCUGGAAAAUGUCCCUGAUUGUGAAUUUCUGCUACUGACUGGGUCCAGGUCUGAGUUCCAUUGCUGUUCCUGUGAUCUGGGUUCAAAAAUGAGUCACUUUCUCACCUGUGACUGCACCUACAUAUGACAGUCACAGUUCCAAGUCUGGAUUGCAUUUGCAUGUGAGAUUUAGGCCUCACCAGUGAGCACUGUCUAUAUGUGAGGGUGACAAUUCUAUUCAGCUGGAUGUGCAUAUAAGAGUCACAAUCUCACCUUUGUUCUGGGUCCUGUUAUGACACUGUAUUAUUUGAGGACUUUACACAGUAUGCCUUGGUAUCAUAAUACACUAUGACCUUUAUUUAAGUAGGAGACCAAGGACCUUGCCUGUUGCUCUAAGCCUAGAUAUCAGAGUCAAAAUCUGUUCUCUUAGCUGGAUCCAGGUAUGUGAGUUAUCACCUCACCUGUGAGCUGUGACCAUGUAUAUGUCACAAUUUCACCUGUGGGCAGGAACCAGACAUGAGAGUCCUAUCACCUGGGUGCUGGGUGUAAGAGUCAACAACUCCUGAGACUUAGGUUCAAGUGCAUGAGUCACAAUCUCAACAGUGGAUUGCAUCCUGCCAUGAGAGCCCCAAUCCCUUCUCCAAGCUGUGUUCCAGUAGAGGAGUCGCAACAUCAAUGGUGUGCUGAAUCCUGGUUGGAGAGUUCCCACUUCACCUGUGGACUGGAUCUGUAUAUAAGAGGAGAGAUGUCGACUCUCAUGCCUGGGCUUAGGGCAAUGGGCAUGAUCCUACAUUUGGGAUUGUAGCAACAACUCUUGACUGCCCUUGGGUGUGAGAUUCAGAACCUCAAUUGUGACCUGUGUACACUUGGGCAUGUGACAAUUUCUACUUUUGGCUGUGUGUUCAUACAAGACUCUCAAUCUCACCUGUGUUCUGGGCCCUGUUAUUAGACUCUCUGUACCACCCACGGGGUUUAUUCAA